ACGGAGAAGGCUAUGUUGGCCGGGCGACGGUUGUCCCGGUUUAAGCGUGUAGGUGUGUGUUCCAGGUAAAUCCGGUUCACUUUAACACUGAGGCGUGACGACGAGGCACUACGGUGCUGAAGCAACAAAUGCCCUGCUUCCAGGAAAAGCCUCUAAGCAUCAGGUAACAUCAAAUCGUACCCCAAACCGACACAGGUGGUCAGGUAGAGAAUACCAAGGCGCUUGAGAGAACUCGGGUGAAGGAACUAGGCAAAAUGGUGCCGUAACUUCGGGAGAAGGCACGCUGACACGUAGGUGAAGUGAUUUACUCAUGGAGCUGAAGUCAGUCGAAGAUACCAGCUGGCUGCAACUGUUUAUUAAAAACACAGCACUGUGCAAACACGAAAGUGGACGUAUACGGUGUGACGCCUGCCCGGUGCCGGAAGGUUAAUUGAUGGGGUCAGCGCAAGCGAAGCUCCUGAUCGAAGCCCCGGUAAACGGCGGCCGUAACUAUAACGGUCCUAAGGUAGCGAAAUUCCUUGUCGGGUAAGUUCCGACCUGCACGAAUGGCGUAAUGAUGGCCAGGCUGUCUCCACCCGAGACUCAGUGAAAUUGAACUCGCUGUGAAGAUGCAGUGUACCCGCGGCAAGACGGAAAGACCCCGUGAACCUUUACUAUAGCUUGACACUGAACAUUGAGCCUUGAUGUGUAGGAUAGGUGGGAGGCUUUGAAGUGUGGACGCCAGUCUGCAUGGAGCCGACCUUGAAAUACCACCCUUUAAUGUUUGAUGUUCUAACGUGGACCCGUUACCCGGGUUGCGGACAGUGUCUGGUGGGUAGUUUGACUGGGGCGGUCUCCUCCUAAAGAGUAACGGAGGAGCACGAAGGUUGGCUAAUCCUGGUCGGACAUCAGGAGGUUAGUGCAAUGGCAUAAGCCAGCUUGACUGCGAGCGUGACGGCGCGAGCAGGUGCGAAAGCAGGUCAUAGUGAUCCGGUGGUUCUGAAUGGAAGGGCCAUCGCUCAACGGAUAAAAGGUACUCCGGGGAUAACAGGCUGAUACCGCCCAAGAGUUCAUAUCGACGGCGGUGUUUGGCACCUCGAUGUCGGCUCAUCACAUCCUGGGGCUGAAGUAGGUCCCAAGGGUAUGGCUGUUCGCCAUUUAAAGUGGUACGCGAGCUGGGUUUAGAACGUCGUGAGACAGUUCGGUCCCUAUCUGCCGUGGGCGCUGGAGAACUGAGGGGGGCUGCUCCUAGUACGAGAGGACCGGAGUGGACGCAUCACUGGUGUUCGGGUUGUCAUGCCAAUGGCACUGCCCGGUAGCUAAAUGCGGAAGAGAUAAGUGCUGAAAGCAUCUAAGCACGAAACUUGCCCCGAGAUGAGUUCUCCCUGAGACUUUAGGUCUCCUGAAGGAACGUUGAAGACGACGACGUUGAUAGGCCGGGUGUGUAAGCGCAGCGAUGCGUUGAGCUAACCGGUACUAAUGAACCGUGAGGCUUAACCUUACAACGCCGAAGAUGUUUUGGCGGAUGAGAGACGAUUUUCAGCACUGAUUCNNNNNNNNNNNNNNNNNNNNGCGGAUGAGAGACGAUUUUCAGCACUGAUUCAGAUUACAUCAGAACGUAAAAACGGUCUGAUAACAGAAUUUGCCUGGCGGCAGUAGCGCGGUGGUCCCACCUGA
Molecule: ribosomal RNA, 1656 nt
Filed under: Salmonella enterica subsp. enterica serovar Paratyphi A
Lineage: Bacteria; Pseudomonadati; Pseudomonadota; Gammaproteobacteria; Enterobacterales; Enterobacteriaceae
Description: bacterial LSU rRNA
Rfam family: Bacterial large subunit ribosomal RNA (bases 1-1480)
Source: RNAcentral